This 718-nucleotide long non-coding RNA is filed under the name Phasianus colchicus (ring-necked pheasant). RNAcentral describes it as "lncRNA (ENSPCLG00000003782.1)". The record is from RNAcentral. Lineage: Eukaryota; Metazoa; Chordata; Aves; Galliformes; Phasianidae.
CAGGUAUUUAGCAAGAGAGUAUGGAGGAGUCAGAUCUGCACCCAGAAUACUAAGUUAAAGGAAGUUAAUAACAAGCAAUAGCUUGAGGAGAACUGCCAAGAAUGGGGGAUUCUGCGAAUGGGACAUGAAUCAAAGACACCACUGAAUCCACAUUUCUGUGCCAGAAACACCAGAGAAUAAACAAGAGAGCUCCAGCUGCUUGCAUUCAGAAGAGGGAGUGGCCAGACUCCGUUGUAAAGCUGCAGGAUUGCAGCUCGUCACAACGACUCUUUCCAGAACCCGUCAAGCUCUGCGAAAGCCAUUUGUUCCCAAAGAGCCUCUUCUGCUCCCUCGCACUCCUCCCACCUACCUGGAUUCCCCUGACUCAACUACUCCUCCUUUAAUGGAAAAGCAGUUCUCUGAGAACAAAUAGGUACAAGCCAUCAUACCGCAAUGUACGAAAUACUGCAAAUAUUAUCUAUAUCAGAAUUGGAUCUUCAAGAUCCCAAAGGAAUAUUGCCCGUGAAAUUUUAGUGACAGACUAUCAAAAGAGUGAAAGGGAAAGAAGUAAUAAGUGCCAAGUGAAAGGAGGUAAAGAAGUAACAAUCUAAUAUCUCGCAUUAUCCCCAGAGGUUGUUGAUGACUGUGAAAGGAGAGGACAGAUGAAUGACGGCAGUGUACUAAAAAGCUGCUGGUCUCUCUGAUAACUAAUUGCUUAGACAUUGCCUCACUGUGGCAA